Molecule: ribosomal RNA, 279 nt
Filed under: uncultured bacterium
Lineage: Bacteria
Description: partial 16S ribosomal RNA
Rfam family: Bacterial small subunit ribosomal RNA
Source: RNAcentral
UGCCAGCAGCCGCGGUAAUACGGAGGGUGCAAGCGUUGUUCGGAAUUAUUGGGCGUAAAGCGCGCGUAGGCGGUCUGUUAAGUCUGAUGUGAAAGCCCGGGGCUCAACCCCGGAACUGCCUUGUAAACUCCUGGUCUUGAGUUCGAGAGAGGUGAGUGGAAUUCCGAGUGUAGAGGUGAAAUUCGUAGAUAUUCGGAGGAACACCAGUGGCGAAGGCGGCUUUCUGGACCGAUACUGACGCUGAGACGCGAAAGCGUGGGGAGCAAACAGGAUUAGAUA